Molecule: long non-coding RNA, 1383 nt
Organism: Brassica napus (rape)
Lineage: Eukaryota; Viridiplantae; Streptophyta; Magnoliopsida; Brassicales; Brassicaceae
Exons: 5
Source: RefSeq, a predicted model, not a curated record
GACGCGCAUCGCGUCUCAUUUGGGCCUCGCGUCAAAUUGGCCUGUUAGUGUUCGAACCUACCUCUCUCCUUCGGCUCCGACUCUUCUUCUCCAUCACGAUCGUUUCAAGAUCAUUCUUUUUUUACCUGUUUCGAAAUCUAGAUCUAAAACGCAAACAGUUAACUCUUCCACAUCCUCUCUCUCUCUCUCUCAGUAACCGGUUGUCCCUUUUGAUUGAAGGAGUUAUACAUCGGAGAAGAAGAUGGUCUCCACCAAAGAGAUAGAAAAUUAGUGACUUCGAGCUAUUGGGUGGUGUCUCUACCAGUGAAGGACUCUGCUUGGAAGCAUUCCUUUGAUACUCAUGUUUAUCGGGAACUCAAUAGUUUCAUCAAUUCCAUUGAAAAUUAGCAAAGAUCUCCCGAUUGCGUUCUGACGAUCUGAUAUCUUCCACUUCACAGCUUAAAUUCCUAAUCUUUGGGUUGGAACAUUAAAUCUCUCUCGAAGAUGGUCUGCUCAAAGAACAAGGAGAAUUACAAAAAAAAUUGCUCCACAGGGUGAACCGCAAUAACAGAAUAUGAGAAUCUUCUGAGAUGGUGCUAUUCUCCAUCUCAAUUAACCAAAGAGAGUGCGUUAAAUAUUUGCCUGGCUGGUAUUGAAGACACGACGGAGCCUUUGGAGACGUAACUAAACUUUUGAAAUAUCAAACAUGUUGCUAGAGGAAGCACUGACACUGGCUCGUGCCUUCAGCCACUUUCUUAACAUGAUAGGCGUUGCCAAAACCCAUCAUAGGCUAGCUAACUACACUAGACAUCCGUGUCACAAAAAUAAAAAGAUUUAGUCAAUUUAUGUUUUCAUACACUUGGAAGAUUGCUUUAUCAUUUAGAAUUUUGUUUUCCUAUUUUCAGAGUUAGUAGAGACUGCUACCUUCCACACCUCAUGAGGUCAUGCAACGAUGUAUUCACUAAGCCGAGGCAAGGUGGUAUUUCCCCAUAUGAGCUUCACUACUUAGUUUGCAAACAGUGUAGAUGAUGAAGAAAGAUCAGAGCAGCAUCUCAUAAAUGCAGCAGACAAAGAGGUUGUGUAUCUAAAAAUAAACCAAUGGGACUUACUAGAGAAGAUACCUAAGAAGCCAACCAGCGAUUACUUCCUUCUGAAAAAUCAUAAACAAAGGGAGUAAAGUGGCAUUCGCUCCUAAUUAUUGUGAUUGAACUACCCGUAAAAUUGGUUCAGUAUUCUUCUCACUCUACGAAUGUAAAAGAAAACAUAUAUAUAUAUAUCUAGGAAGCGAUGUUCUCUUCGAAGGAAUGAGACAUUUUAAUCUAUGAGCAAAAGCCACUAGCAAGUUCUUUGUUUCCUGAUCUGAAACAUUUUAUAUCCUAUGUAAAUUAUGUCUCUUGAUGACCU